Molecule: small nuclear RNA, 107 nt
Filed under: Microcebus murinus (gray mouse lemur)
Lineage: Eukaryota; Metazoa; Chordata; Mammalia; Primates; Cheirogaleidae
Source: RNAcentral
GUGCUCAAUUUGGCAGCACGUAUACUAAAAUUGGAAUGAUACAGAGAAGAUUAGCACAGCCCCUGCCCAAGGAUGACAUGCAAAUUUGUGAAAUGUUACAUAUUUUU